RNAcentral lists this unclassified non-coding RNA (240 nucleotides) under soil metagenome. RNAcentral describes it as "partial contains 5.8S ribosomal RNA, internal transcribed spacer 2, and large subunit ribosomal RNA". The record is from RNAcentral.
AAGACUAUAGACCUGCGGAGUACCUGCGGAAGGAUCAUUAUAGAGUGGUAAACCCCCCGUAAAAGGGGGGGACCUCCUGUCCUUUGUAGGCUCUUUUUUAAAAGGGCUUUUUUUAAUUUUCUGCUUCGGUGGGGUUAUCCCACCGGAACAACCUCAAAACUCUUAUCAAAAAAUCGUUCUGUCUGAGAACCUUUUAUAAUAAAAAAAACUUUUAGCAACGGAUCUCUAGAUCGGAAGAGC